This 118-nucleotide small RNA is filed under the name Marmota monax (woodchuck). Lineage: Eukaryota; Metazoa; Chordata; Mammalia; Rodentia; Sciuridae. The record is from RNAcentral.
GCCAGGCGCAGUGGCCUGUGCCUAUAAUCCCAGCGGCUCAGGAGGCUGAGACAGGAGGAUCGCAAGCCAGCCUCAGCAAAAGCAAGGUGCUAAGGUUCUCAGUGAGACCCUGUCUCUA